AUGCACGCGUCCACUGCGGUAUGUCCGGAGUCGUCGGCGUGCACUUCUCCCCUAGUAGGACGUCGUGACCCGUUGGGUGUUGGUUUACGGUCUGGGUGGUUGCCUGUUCCGUCGCAUUCUAUGUGUACGGAGCAGACCCCCGUGUACCCGACCAACUGCCCGGCGGUACUCGCACGGUAUCGGGCCGCACUUAUGUGCGUCGGGCCCGUCGCAAGCGAGAUCAGUGUUACCCGGAGGUGCGGACCUAGUGCCGUCCCCGGGCCUGGUCAGCUGUUGGUCGGCGGUGUUCUCGGACAGGCUCAUCCAAAAUGAUACCGGUCGGCGACGCUACUGCUUUGGGUACUUUCAGGACCCGUCUUGAAACACGGACCAAGGAGUCUAACAUGUGCGCGAGUCAUUGGGACCGCAAAACCUAAAGGCGUAAUGAAAGUGAAGGUCGACCUUGCGUCGACUAAGGGAGGAUGGGUUGCGUCACGAUGCAGCCCCGCACUCCCGGGGCGUCUCGUACUCAUUACGAGUAGAGGCGCACCCAGAGCGUACACGUUGGGACCCGAAAGAUGGUGAACUAUGCCUGGUCAGGACGAAGUCAGGGGAAACCCUGAUGGAGGUCCGUAGCGAUUCUGACGUGCAAAUCGAUCGUCGGAACUGGGUAUAGGGGCGAAAGACUAAUCGA
Molecule: ribosomal RNA, 673 nt
Filed under: Feron crystallinum
Lineage: Eukaryota; Metazoa; Arthropoda; Insecta; Hymenoptera; Cynipidae
Description: Andricus crystallinus partial large subunit ribosomal RNA
Rfam family: Eukaryotic large subunit ribosomal RNA
Source: RNAcentral